Long non-coding RNA from Cavia porcellus (domestic guinea pig), 20894 nucleotides. RefSeq lists it as uncharacterized. The record is from RefSeq and is a predicted model, not a curated record. NCBI's taxonomy places the organism in Eukaryota, Metazoa, Chordata, Mammalia, Rodentia, Caviidae. The transcript has 3 exons.
AGCGUCUCUCACAUGAGGGUGACCCCAUCUGUGGAGGAAACAGUGUGCCAUUUUCUUGUCCUGGAGUGGGUAUACAUUUGUUUGGUGGACUCUACUUUUGGUGCAAGACUUGGUCGGUUUCGUGCUUCCUGUAGAGUCCAGACUGACCCUGCUUCCUCAAGACCGUACCAGUAAGCUCUCCAAUGUGCCAUUUGUUUUCACUUUCAGUUCCUCCCCUAAAACUCUGCUCCCGUUACCGGAGAAGCACAGGGCAUCUUCCCUUGAGAUGCACCCUCUCAUUCCUUCUUCAGCCAGCGCUCUCCCUCCGGGAACCAGGACCUGGGGACCGUCCAAUUGAAAAUGAGCACCCUGGACAAGGCUGAGGAGAGGAUCUCCAGUUUGACUAGGCCUGGCCCCGGAAAUGUGGGCGCUCCUGGGCGUGGACGCCGUGGCCUUCCUGAAGCUGCAGGAGGAGGAACACAGAGAGCGGGCGGAGGAGCAAGGGCUGCAACCCCGGACGCGCAGCGAGGCCGCCGGCCGAGGACCUUCGCCACCUGCCACUGUACAGCUCCUGGACGCCGCGGGACAUGGCAGCAGCGGGCUUUUACUGCACCGGGUGAAGUCCAAGUCCGGGUUCAGUGCUUCUGCUGCAGCUUGAUCCUCUCCGGCUGCGGCUGCGGGAAGGUCCCCGUGGAGCAUCGCAGGGAGUUCCGCCUGGGCUGCCUGUGCCUGCUGGGCCGGGACGUGGGCAACAUGGGCAAGUAAGACGUGCGCGGGUGAAGACCCCAGGCGAGGAGCCGAGCGGUGGCCGAGCAGGUACCGCGAGCAGGAGGCCAGGCUCGCGUCCUUGAGGACUGGCCCUUCUGCGUCCACGCAGUGUCCCCGCGGGGCCUCGCAGCUUCCGGCUUCGUCUUUAUAAGUAAACUGAAUUCAUCUCCUACAGGGCUUCUCCCCAAGUUUUAACUUAAGGUUCCAUGCUUUGGUUGCUGUUGAGCUGCUUUGUGAAUCCUUCAUUGCUUGUUUAAUGUGUUGUAUUAGACAAAAAUCCAUCUUGUUAAAAUUCUGCUUCAAGCAGAGUGUGGUGGUACAGGCCUGUAAUCCGGCACUUGCAAGGCUGAAACAGGAGGAUUGCCCAGAGUUUUAAGCCAGUCUGGGCUACACAGUGAGUUAAAAGCCAGCCUGAACUACAUAGCGUGACCCUGACUCAAUAAAUAAAUUAAAACAAGCAACCUCCCCCCCCCAUUCCACUUCAGUAAUUUUUCUUGAUGUUUUGUGCACCUUGUGUUAAUUCGUCAAAGCUAUAUAAAACCAGAAGACGAUUUUUCCAUAUAUAAGGGCCUUAGGUGACACAGACUGUGUUCUUUAGGCCCUGAUGCUGUUCAAUCCCAGUCUCCUCACGAAUGAGGAGCUCUUCACUGUUCUCACACAAGCUUUCUUUGAUUUUUAAAAUUCUUACAGUUUUUGAAGUUUUUUUAAAUCAAUUUCUUUCUCUCUGUCUCUCUCUCUCUCUCUCUCUCUCUCUCUCUCUCUCUCUCUCUCUCUCUCGGUACAGGGGAUCGAACACAAUGUCACACUUGCCAGGCAGGUGCAUGUGCCGCUGAGCUCCGUCCCGGCGCCUGUGUGUUUAUGUCUUGGCCUCACCAUGGAUGGUGACAGGAGACCGAGGCUUCCUAAGAGCAACUAUGGCUUACUGAGCGGCUGCUUCAUGCGAGGCGCGGAUUAACUCCAAUUCUUUGUCAACCCAUUUGCCCCUUUUUUUCCCAAGUGACAGUUGUUUUCACCAAGACUCAGAGACCUUUGAGUUUUUGUUUUCACCAAGAAUCAAAAAAAGGGUCUGCAUUUUAUAGAAUCAGCGUGGAGAAACCAACAGUGAGGGUUAACUGUGGAGCUCAGUGGACUGGAUGUGCACUGGCCGGGGCUCGCGGGGCGCAGCAGGGCUGACCAGGUGGCCGAGCGCUCCUGGAGGAACAGCACGUGGGGCAGCUGGGCCUGAGGAGAGUGUCACCUCCGGGAGCCCCUCAGGGCCACUGCUGGCCCCUGAGCCGCUGUCCUGUGUCCACAGGUCACAGGGACACCGUGCAGUGCUUCUCCUGUGGCGGAUGCUUAGGAAACUGGGAAGAAGGAGACGACCCCUGGCAGGAACAUGCCAGGUGGUUUCCCAAUUGUCCAUCUCUCCAAAAUAUGAAGUCCUCUGCAGAAGUGAUUCGCGACCUCAAGGGCUGUGGUGAACUCCUGAGAUACUGGUAUGUGACUGGGUGAUUGAAAACUGCUUUGAACAGGAAUCACUCGGUGUAAGUAAGUAAACACAUAAAUUCUCCAGAUAUCUACCAAGCACCUUCUGUGUACAAAGUGCAGCUGGCGUUACCAUGAAGUAUGGGGAAGAUGUGAUUCCUGGCUUCCUAAAUGAGUGCUUGGGAAUUUGGCAUUGAGGCCUGAACAUUUAGAAUUGAACAGCAUCAGGCUACAUGGAUCCCAUCUUUGAUGUUUAUUUAGAGGCCAGUAAAGCUAAACUUCCUCUUUGGCCUUUUUCAGGGCUGGGAAGAUGUAUCUUUAAUAAAUUAUGAAUGAUUUAGGGAUGAGAGUGUGCAGUAUAUGUACUAUUGUUGUCCCCUGAUUGAUGUUUUGAAAUUUUGUUGUAGUUUUCCUCCUCUUUUCUUUCCUCUUCCUCCUCCUUCUUCUUCCUCUUCUCUUUCUUUUUAUUCUCAAGCAAAAUGGAUUUAAAAAAAUUAAAAAAUAGUAAAAGGAAAUGAUCAGAUACUAGACUGACCCCUUUAAACUGAGAAAUCCUAACAGUUCUCUGAGAUUUCAGCCACUAUCAAUUUGAUAAACAUAUGCACGCCACCCUAUUUUAAGGCUGUGUGGUAGAUAUGUUUGUCAUCCAAAACAAGAGAACAAACACCAUUCUCUUCACUUGGUGCAUCUUUUAUAUUUGUGAAUUUUAGAAAUCCAUUGGAGUUAGGUAUGGCAGCAGACAUGUAAUUUCAGCUAUUUAGGAGCUGAGUUGAGAGGAUCAAGGGUUUGACAACACACUGGGCAAUUGAGCAAGGCCCUGUUUCAAAGUGAGAGAAAAGGAUAGGGCUGUAUGCUGCCAAUAAUACAUCCUUUAAGAUUCCAAGCACCAACAAAAUGAAGAAGGUAGAAGGAAAAGAAAACUGAAAAUACCUUUUGAAGUAUUAAUGAUUCAAAAUGGCAUGAUUUUGUUUCUUGCAAAGAAAGAUGCAACGUAGUAUAGAAAGUUACUACUAUUAUCCAUGUACAAACACAACUGUUAUUUUAUUUAAUUGGUACAUGUUUUCAGUUUAUGCAGGUUACUAUCAUCUUAGGGAGUGUUUACUUUUACAUACUACAUCACAUAUAUAUAGAGAGAGGGGGGAGGAGAGAGAGACAGAGACACAGAGAGACACAGAGAGAUACAGACAGAGAGACAGAGAUGGGGUGGGGAGAUACAGAUACAGGAGGAAUUGUUUUUAAUCAUCACAAAGUUUUUCACUGCUCCAUUAUUUCAAAAUCUGGAAUUUCACAUCUAACAAUUACAAUAAAUCCUCUUACAUUUUAAAUAUUAAGCCAUUUUGAAAUGUUUAUAAGUAUGGAAUUUUCCAUGUGAGACAAAGUAUGCAUGACCCCAAUUCUCCAAUCUAAAAAUCAACGAAUAGCUUUCCCAAGUCAGUGCAAGAUUAGCACCAAAGCCAAGAAAUUCUUGGUCUGUGACCAAGGAUUUAGACCUGCCUAAGAGAACCAAAGCAAAACUGGACUAAGAGGUCCACAAAAGAUUACUAACGACACUCAGAGAUCAAUAUCACCCUAGUUAGGUGGAAAAAAAUCUUUUUGUUAUACCUUGCUGGGUUUUCAUAAAGUUGUAAGCCUCAAUGUGUUAGUCACUGUUCUCCUGUUGCUGGUUAAAAAAAAAAAAAAGCUGACACUCAAAAUUAAGGAAGCAAAGAUUUAUUUACCUCACAGUUUGUAGAAGUUUCAAUCCAUAAUCAGCUAGCUCCAAGGCUGGGUAGAAUGGCCCAGAGGCAACACUUCAUGGCAGCAGAAACAGCAAAAGCAACAACAGAAAUGAAAGAACACCUAGAGAAGGGUCUUUCUAUCCCUUAUAUUGUAUAUAGGCCACUCCCACUUGGGUAUGGCACUUGCUGCUUCUUAUGAUGUCCUCAGGUCAUCUUUUCUAUUGUCCUAUUUCUUCUCAGCAGUAGAGAUCUCCUCAGCUCUACCUUUGCAGUCCACAAAUUUACUGAUGCUUCCUUUGUGGCCAAACUCACAACACUUUAAAUCAUCAUGCUGGGCUCUUUGCUUUUGAUUCACAACGUAAAUCUGGCUUAAAGCCCCUAAUAAUAGUCAUGCCAUCACCUCAACAUUUGACUUCCUUGAAAUUUCUUCUGCUAGAUUAAUUGGUAUGCCUCCCUUAAUCUUAAUCUCAGGUAAAAUCUUUGGACAUGAGCAAAAUGCAGACAAACUUUCUGCCAAAUCAUAAUAUAGUGUGGACUCCAGCACCCAAUGCAGUCCUUCGAAGCAGAAACAUCUGAAGCCUGAUCCUUACUAGUUUUCUGGUCUUCUGAACUUCGACCAGACUCUUCCAUAAAGAAUAGCCUGACGCAUUCCAGCUCUGCUCUUUCAGGCAAGAUCUUUGAACCUUUCCAUACUCUCCCCAAAAGCCAUUCCGAAAGGGUGUUGAACCACAUGGUCAGUAACAGUCACAACAACAGCCCCACAUCUUUGAUACCAAAUUCUGUCUUGCUUUUCUCUCAUUGCUGAGACAAAAAAUGCCCAAUGCAAAACAUAAGGAAGGCAAAAUUUAUUUAGUUUAUGGAGGCUUCAGUCCAUAGUAAGCUGGCUCCCAGGCAGGUUGGCAUAGCACAAAGGCAUCCUUUCAUGGCAGCAGAAAACAGCAAAAGCAACAAGAGCAAAAGGGGAGGAAUACCUAGAGAAGACUCUUUCUGUCUAUUAUAUUGUAUGUAAGCCGAUCUGCUGAGUAUACAAUUUAUAAUCCUAACAUUGGACCAUGAAUCAUUCACAAAGUCUAAUAGCCUGCCCCCAUAACCAUAUGGGGCUCUGGGGGGACAUCCAGACACAAACCAUAACAGUAAACAUAAAGUCCUCCUGACCCUGCUAGGUCACAAAAUUUAAAAAUGUAAAGAAAACAAGUUUUUAAGUGAUAUGCUAUAUUAAAAUAUUUACAGAUGAAAUCCUCUGUCAUCUGUGACAAUCACCAUUACUUCCCAGAUUAACACAGUACAUUCUGCAUAAUAUCUAGUAGCUGGUAGGAGCGGGUCUCACUUUGUCUUACUGACAAAAAAACCCCCUGAGACUCAUAGGCUAUACAUAACUUAUUGAAGAUUCCCUAGUUAGUCAAGGGCAGUAAAGGACCUUAAAUGUAGCUCUUCUCCUUCCACACUGCCACGCCCUCUGUCUCCCCCAAGGUUAGUUACCAUAACCUCAGAUGUGCGGUGCUCCCUCUCUCUCCUUGCCUCUCUUCAGAGCACAUCUUCACUGCCAUAUUUACCAUGCUUUCCAGGACGCUCCUCUUAAUCUUAACCACCUUACAGUGCUUAUCAUUCCUAUCUUUGAUCUAGGAUUUUUCAGCUUUUCAAUCAAGACAUUCCUAAUAAAAAGUAAAAAGUUAAACUGCGGUAUUGCUUAGCAGCACAGUACCUGCCUGGCAAGCUCAAGGUCCUGAGUUAAAUUUCUGGUACCAAAAAAAAGGAAAAUUGGAAGAGGAAUUCUGAAGUAGUACAUGUUAUGAAAUUUUCUACUUCUGGGGAAUGUUAACAAUCACUGUCAUCUAAGUCUAUCUGGCUCUGAAUGAAGACACUGAUUAUCUAUAUUGUUGGGUUUCUGCAUUUGAGACAGGAAAUAGAAAGAUUUGGAUUACAAGGGAUCUGUUCUUCCAAAUAGCUCUAUUUUUAAAAUUACACAAAUCUGCUGGGCUCCCAUGUUCAAACAGAGUUCAGUGAGCAAAACAUAUGUUUACUUUGAAAAUCAGAUUUAAACAGCACUAUUUAAGCAACUAAUAGAUGAAUAUUUAAAUGCUGAAUUUAUGAGGAUUACUGUGAAUCUUUACAGAAGUAUGACCUUUAAAAAAAUGUAAGGGGCUGAGGAUAUAGCUCAGAGGCAUAGCACCUGCCUUGCAAGCGUGAGGGUGUGAAUGCAAUUCCCAGAACCAAAAAAAGAAAAAAGAAAGAAAGAAAGAAAGCAAAAAAGAAAGAAAAAAUGUAUAUAUUCACUUUAUUGUAAGUUGAAAAAUUCAGGAAAAAAAGAUAACAUCUAAUUAAUCACUUUCUUUCCCUACCAGGAUAAAGAUGAUUUAUGGGAUGUUAGAAAAAGGUUACUAGCAAUUAUCAGCAGUGAAACUAUGGGGACCUACCUUAGUGAAAUAAAAUUGGUCUUUAGCAAUCUCCUGAGCAGGAUGUCAACUUUGAAAGAGGCUGUCUUUGCAGAAAUCAUUGUAAACUGGAACAUAAUUUAACUGUUAGAUAUCAAGAGGUAGCAUUUCUUUUCCUUAAUUUGGUGGACAUGAGAUUAUGAUUGAUGGAAAAGAAACAAUCUAAAAGAGUGAAGAUGGUGAUGAGUAUGUGUAACUCAAGAAUAUAUGUUAACACCAAAAUACUAAUCAUAACAAGAAAACAUAGAUUCUCAUCUUUUCUUCCACCUAGGAAUCAUGGAAGGUUGCAUCCCGAGUCUAAACUUCUUUACUGAAAAGUGAGAUAUUAGUUUCAAUGAUAUCUGAGGUCCAUGUAAGUUCUAAAACUGCUCUGAUACCUAUUUAAAUAAAAGUUACCUCUGUUGUACAUUUAAAACAUUCUUAAACACACAUUGGUUGUGGCUUUAGAAAUAUAGACUAUCAUAGAUAAGUAAAAUACUGAGAGUACAGCUGAAUAAUACAAGAUGUGCUUAGCAUUAUACAAGGCCCUGGGUUUCAAUUCCAGUACCCAAACAGAACAACAAACCAAAAAGCAAAACAAUACACAGACACUUGAAACAAACAAACAAACAAGCCUAACCCUACCUCACAGAAAUAACUGCUAACCUCCAGAGAAGAAAUACAUAUAAUGCUUUGUAAUCUGCUUUCUUUUAGCAUAUUUUAAAUUUCUUGCUAUAGCACUAAAUGUUUUUCUAAAACACUAAUUUUUCAGUGGGCAAGGCAAGAAGGCAGGCAUCGUAGAACCACUCUGGGCUGUUCCAGAAAAACACUCUGCUCUUUCUAAUAUCCCUCUGCAAGCUGAGGUUCUCCCAGUCAAGAAUCACCAUGAACAAAACUGGUUGGCAGUAACCCUAAUUUCCCUUAAGAGCAUUAAGACAAAAGCAAACCAAACAGCACUAUCCUUGCAAAAGCACUUUUAAAUGGUUACAAAGUUUGAAUGCUCCAUUACUUAUUAACCAGUUUCCUUCACUGCAUAUUAGGCUAUUUUCACUAUAUAAAUAUUCUAUUGAACAUCUGUGUAGUUCUAUGUAUGUAUGUAUCGGUAAGGCAACCACUGGCCUUUCCUCCAUGGUAACUGGUAAUGAGGGAGCUUGAAGUAACAACAUUUCUCUUUCUGUUUCAAUUAAAUGGGAAUUUGACACAAACAGAAAGAAAGAUGAGCCUUGCUUAAGAAAUUUGCUUCCUCCCCAGCAUCUUUGAUCUAGUUAUCAUAAAAACAUAUACUCCUCAAUGUAAAAUGACUGAAGGUCAAGGUCAUUUUACACAAAAUUUAGGGCUCUUCUAAUGGUUUCUUUUGUAAAAUAAAACAGAAAGGACCUUAUAAUCUGUAAAUACAAAAUAAAGUUAACUUUUUAGUAACAUAAUAUUUAAAAUGCUAAAAACUUCAUAGGAAAAACCGGCAGAGCAAGAAACUUCUACUAAAAGUAAACACGUGAGUGAAUCAUAUUAAAAAUAGAUGCUGUCACAAACUUUUCAGAUUCUUCAUCCUUGUAGGUACACUGCCAGCUUUGCCAAAAUAAAAGAUGACAUUCUAUACGCAAAAUACAAAAGGAUUAAAUGAUUCUAAGAAUUUUGGGGGGAGUAUCUCCCUGAUAUGGAGAAAACAGGUCAGGAAUGCACUCCACCUACUAUGGUGAUGCUGAAAAAAACCCAGAGGAAAAGUCAAAGUUCAGAGAAGGUCACUGUUCCUGGACUCAGAGCUCCUCCUCAGGCCCACUAAGGCUUUCUGUGUACACAGAAAACAGAGGCAGAAAAACCACAACAACCCACAAGAGCCCAGUAGAAGGAAGCUGCUUAGUUUGUCUGGCCAGGUUGACAAGAAUAACUCUUCUCUGAAAGAUGACCAGUGAAGAGUGAACAUUUUAUAUUCAAAGAUGUUAUAAAUCUUAAUUAAUAAAACAGUACAGCAUUAGCAUGAGAAGAGGCAAAUGAAGAGAAGAGAAUACAGAAAUAUACCAAUACACUUGAGAAUUUUAAAAGGCAUUUUAGUAUUUAAUAUUUAUGUUUUCUCACACUUUAACAUUUCUGCAACCCGGGCGCACUGUACAAAUAGAUGGGAUUUCAGACAUGACCAGGGUAUUUGACUUGAAUCCAUAUAAUGGGAAGAUGAAAAAGUCCUAGAGAUAAAUGGUGGUAAAGACUGUACUACAAUGUAAAUGUACUUAAUGCCACCAGAUUUUGUGUUUAAAAAGGUUUCAAACAGUUUUAAGUGGGUACAUUUUACAUUAUGUACAUUUUACCACAAUUUAAAAAUCCAAGUUUGCGAAAGAAAAAUUGGGACUCUCUCUAGCAUUAUAAAAUAAAGCCAGUUUAUUCACAUAAGUAAAUAAGCAAGACAUAUGAUACAUGCUAAAAGUGGCACCUUAAUUGAACAAGCAAUGAGUUAUUGGUAAUUAUUCAGUCAACAAUGUAGCACAAUAACGAAAGAUAAACUCGAGACUUUGAUAGGUAAAUGACUGGAACUAGAGACCACACUCAUAAGCAAAAUAAAUCAGACCUGCAUGUGAAAACAUCGUAUUGUCUCCCUAGUGAAAGAAGCUGAAAGAGUGAAUAAGAUCCACAAUGCACAAUAGAUAUUGUGAAAGGGAAAGAAGCUGCUCUAAAGAAAAAAAAAAAAACUGGGAUGGGGGAAAGGAGAAAAAAGGAAGUGUGAAAUAUAUAUACGUGUGAGAUAUGAGAUAGCUGAGAUGAUUGUACUAUUGAUACUAAUAGUUCAUGCAAAGGAACAGAUAGUGCUUAUAUUGUUUGAUCAGUUUUGCAUGCCUGUAUCUGCAAUCUGAGCAACUAUUUUGGAAAUAACAAUAUGCAGCAUAAUAACUAUUGUUAAUUUCCUACCAUCUUGUUUUGAAAUCCUGUAUCGUUUUUGUUGUUGUUGCUUUAUUACUCCCUUUAAAGGAAAAUGUAGCACAACUAGAAAGAGACCUGAAAAAAAAUGUUGAGUGCAAAUAUUGCAAACCAAGGUGAACUCCAGAUAGAUCAACAAUUUCAAUUUAAAAAAUAGGGAAAUUAAUAGGUGAUAACAUGCUAAAACACUUUUAAAAUCUUGGUAUGGGAAAAGCUCUUCCAACUAUGACUCAAAAUUUAGAAGAGAAAAGACGAGGUUAACCAUAAGAACAUCAAGAAGAAAUGCAGAAAGUGUUGCUGGGACAGAGAGCAGAGCACUGGGGAGAACAAAAGGAAAAAGCAAUCCAUGGUGGCUCCGAGAAGACACCAGAGGCCAGCAGAGCCAAAAUAAGGCGAGGGCCAGGUUAGGGAGAUGGGAAGAGCCUUCCCAGCUCCGCUCCGGGGUAAAGGUGCUAUCCUCUAGGGGUUCUGACUUUGGAAAAUCAGAAGUCAGACAGUCUUAGUCCCCAUUGUUGGGGAAGAAAAAAAAUCUUGAGCUAAGAAUCCAAGAGACUACUAAGCAAAGUUUGAUCUCAUUAUGAAUCUGUGGGCUUCCUGGUAUCCACACGCCAUCUACUUGGACCUGGGUUCCCUCCCACCCCACUCUGGCCAUUUAAGCAGAAGCAAAAUCUCAAAGAGCUGUGUGGCUAGGCAAAAAUUUUGGUGUUUGAUUCAUUGUUUCCUAAUGACUUACUAAGAUCAGAAAUUUUAUAUUAAAGUGUGAGUAAAAUGAAGGAAGAAUUUGUUUAAAAUAGGAUUUCUCCAUCUUCAUGGUACUGAAAUUUUGAGCCUGGUAAUUUUUAUUUGUGCAGAUCUGUCCUGAGUACUGCAUGCUGUCUGGAACCAAACUUAACUUCUAUUUACUAGAUGCCAGGAAUUCAUCCACACACAUUGAGACAAACAAAAUUGUUUCCCCAAAUUGUAGAACCCCUGAAUGACAAAAUUGUCCCAAAUUGUGGACCAUUGUUUAAAGAAAACUAGCAAUAUGUAUUCAUCCAAAUAGAAGUAGUUUGCCUCAAAGGAUUCACUUUAGCAACUGAAUACUUAUUCAGUAAUGCUGUUGUUCAAAACAAAUUUGCAGCCUUUUAUUUUAUAAAUUACUUUCAGAGGUUUUUUUUAGAAUUUCAUUUAAAUGACUUUAUGGGAGGAAAACCUUUGUCAAUUGUUUACAAAAGGUAAGUUCAUGUAAACUAGUUAAACCUCUUUGGAAGCUAAAAAUUUCAUUUCACACAGUUAUUCCUGUUAGGCAUCUUUCUAAACAAGUUAAAGAUAUUUUAUUACAGAUAUCCAUGCAUAUCAGUUCAUAAUAGAUAUUUCCAACAUCAUGAAACCUACUCUGUCUCUGCUACAUUAAUUUGUAUCAUAUUAUAUUUUACAAAUAUUUUUUAACCACUGGUGUAAGGUCUGAAGAAGUAUGUCCUAAGUUGUUAAUGAUUUGUAUGUGGAAAGCACUUGAAGAUAACAGUCAAAACUGGUGUAAGGUAAGAUAAAUGAGGGGAGAAAGAAGAAAUCUGGAGAAGAGUGGCAGUGCCUCCCAAGCAAAAUUCAGACCUACAACACCUUACACGGGUUUUGGGAAGUGACUCCCACUUGGCCUGACUGUAGCUUCAUCCAACCAUCAUGACGACAUCUAGUGGGGGCGGAGGUUGAUGAGUGCUAUACAUGACCCCACAAAGGCUGAAACAGAGAUUUCACGUUCAGGUGCGGGUACAUGACACAGAAAUGGUGCACCUUGGUGACUAGGGUAAUAGUGAGAGCCCUGACAGAAAUAAUCUUUUGCAUGGACUUGGGGAGAGAGCAGGCCAAGUCCAAAGGAAUAGCCUAAUGUGCAGUGAGAUGUUAUACUAAAACUGAUGGAUGUGAGGAGCACUAAAUCUAAAGCCAGAGAAAUAAAGGUGAGUGAGGAAGCAAAAUCCCCUAAAAUCUAUGUGUAAAAAAAAAAAAAAAAGAGUGAGGCUAGGGAUGGUGCUCAAGCAAAGCGUGUGUUUAGUAUACACACAUCCUUGUUCUGGAUCACCAGAGCUUCACCGACUGGAAAGGCACACAGAAGGAAAAAGGGACCAAAGGCCAAGAGCCUGGUCUAUGAUGCUUGAAACAGCGCAGCACUUCAGGAAAACAAGGACCAAGAAAAUAACUCGGGGUGAGAGAGCUUAGCACGGAAAACAACAGCUUCUGCCCAAGAGCCAGAGCCCAGAGCAGAAACCCCUACUGGAAUCUAGGUGUGGGUCCUCUGUGCCUCAGUUUCCUCAUCGGCAAAAUGACAAUAUCAUCUAUCUCACAGGAUUGUGGAAGAUUGCCAUCAUUAACACAAACAUUUUAGAUUAGUGCCUACCCAGCACACAAGCACUUGACAAAUGUCUGCCAUGAAAGAGCGCUGGAUUUUACUUCUCAGUAACUUUGGGGAGAUCAGGUUUCUUUGGAGUAGCAACAAGAAUUAAGGCAAUCAAUGAGAGAUGUAAUCAAAGGCUUCCUUCUGCCUCUGGGACUAGACGCUGCUCUGCAAACCUAAGCCACUGUGCUCCAGUCCAAGAGCAGCACCCCAAGUUCACCCUGACCGCGAGAACCAAAAGCACACGGGGCAGGAGGCUGGCAAAAAGGGGCUCUGCUCAUGGUGCACCGAGAUGCUGGGGAGGCCCUUACUGAGCCCUGCCGCGACCUCAGCAGUCAAGGCCUCCCUUUCCUACACCACCAGGCGGCACCUCCGCCCUUCAAGCCUGGGCCCCAUGCCUCGAUCCAUCCACAGUGCUUGGCUUGGAUCUCUGGUGUAGCAGGGACGCAGCAGGGCAGGGUGUGGGCCCCGAACUUCCUCAGAGGGGCUGGUCCUGAUGGACCCCGCAGGUGGUUCCUGAGCUGGAGCCCUAGGCUUACCUUCCUGCCCCCUCUGAAGAAGAAAUGAAGGAGGAGGGAGCCUAGGGCACGUUUUGGAGAUAGGAGUUGCAGUGGUACCAUGGCUAGGAAAAGGCCCCAGCAAGAGGAGCCAUUUGAGUGGCGAUUUUAAAGAGAUGAGGUGGGGAGCCCUUGUCUCUCCAGGUAAUCACUGCCGACAUGGCCCAGGAGUCAGUAGAAACCAGCCUGGCUAACAUGUUACAAUUCAUAAAAUAGCAGAAAGGUAAGAGUGACUGGAUGGAGUGAGUAGGGAUAUUGUAAGAGUGAAGGAGGCCAAAAUCUUAAGAAGCAGUUUAAAACUGACACCAUCUGGCUGACAUCUGAAAGUAAGAUUCAGGCAACACUUUUUGAGCAGAGUAUGGGGUGAUGAGAGGAAGAGCUGGAGCACGAAAAUCCUAGGACACUGUUUCACAAUCCAGAUAAGAGAUAAAGGUGGCUUGGACAGGUUAGUAGGGAAGGUGUGACUUGCCACUUAAUAAGAGGAAGACUGUGAGGGGAAAAGUUGGGACAGGAGUAGCAGGAAUGGUUUGGGAAACUCUGGAUUUGAGAUUCCUAUUAGAAAUCCAAGGCGGGUCGGCAGUUUGUUCUUUCAUCAUCUGGAAUUAAAGAAAGAGACCUGAGUGUACACAUCAUAUUUAAAAGAUGUGAGCGUCUAAGGGCACCAAGAGUGAGAAAAGAGACGAGGUCUGAAAAUUGGUCCUGGGAGACUUUGGGUCAUAAAUUGUCAGGGGAGUGAGGAACAGUCAGUCAGGGAAGGAUGUGUUUUGGAAGGGAGGUGUGCUGGGUAGGUAUUGACACGAUAAUGCUUUAUAUCUUCACUUUGUAUCACACUAGCUUAUGGUCACGUAUUUGUUUUCAUGUGCAUAGGUGUGUAAGUUGGUUGCAUUGAGCUGUCCUAAGCUAUGCUCUGAGUAGCUCUGCUGUGUGUUGUAGGUUGGGGUUGGAUCUUCAAUGUGUUUUUCCUGGAGCUCGGAUAGUUUAGAGAACAUUUUUUUUUUUUAAUCACUGAGAUGCAAAAGUCAAUUCAAAACCCACUGAAGGCUUCACAUCUGGUUGGCAAAUAGUUCAUGGGCUCAUGUAUGUCACAUAGCCAUAUGCAAAGUACUAUGGAGACAUUCAUUCCACACUGAGGAAAAUGAAUAUUUACUGUACAGACUCAACACAGCAAAAGGAAAAAAAUUUAAAAGGUAUAGGAGGUGAUUACUAGUUCAAAAGCUGAGAAUUAGAAAGUCGCCACUGAUUUAACAAGGUGGAACUCCUAAGUAGCUCCUCAGCUUUGGUUUGCACACUUUUGGAGAAAUGAAAAGGAUGGAAGAGAAAUUAAAGAACAAUUUCAUAGACAGAUGUUUCAAGAACUUUUUUUUUUCUGGUUCCAGGAAUCGAAGUUAGGACCCUGUGCUUGCCGGGCAGGUGCUCUGCCAGUGAACUAUAUCCCUGGCCUUUUUUCAACAACUUUUGUGAUGGGCUGGGGAUACAGCUCAGCAGUGUAACUACCUGCCUGGCAAGUGCAAGGUCCUGAAUUUGAUUUCCAGUACUCAGAAAAGAGUAGUUUAAAAAAGAACUUUUUGUAGUAUAAAGGAGCAAAUAAAUGAAGCAAUGACAAAAAGAGCAAAUAAAGUUGUUUUAGUCAGGAUUGUGAGCAGAACAAUUAGAAUCAGAACAUGGAAUUUAUAAUAUUAUUAGAUGAUGGUCACCCAGAGUUAACCCAAGAAAAUGUAGGAAAUAUAUCCACAACACUAAAGACACAGAAUAUUUAGCCAAGGGCCUAAAUUUCACAGCAAUGUCCCACAUGAGUCCAGAUGAAGACCCAGAGCUCAUGACAAUGCCUAUUAGUCCAACUGGAGGUCUAGAGCCUACAAGAAGGACUCACAUCAGUCUCUUUUACGGAUCCAUGCUGAGAAGGCCCAAAGGUCAGUCGUCGAAGCCAGUAAGUCCAUGACAAAGGGUGAAGGAACUGUGCAGGUAGGUUGAGGUUCUGUGUUGUAACUGAGAAGUCACGCUUAUAAUAAAGACCAGGGCUGUCCUAAAAAGCACCACAGCCAUCCUCAGCAACAUGGAGGCCCCCAGCUCCUCUAAUGACAAGCACAGUCGAGUGCAUGCCAGGAAGCCAGUGUGAUGAGUUUCUCCUGGAGAUUAAAUGGCACAUGUCCUUCCCUCCGGAAGCAGGAAGCGGUGCUCCAUGUAAGGUCCAGAGCUCCUCCAAAUUGAACCACAGCCACUCUCACCAGCAAGGUCCCAAGCUUCUCCUAUGACAGUGGUCGAACUCAGACUGGGGAAGCUGAUGAGCUCCUCCAGGAGAACCAAAGGCUCAAACAGCAACAAGAAGAACCCACAAGGCCUCCAUGCCUCCACGCCUCCCGUCUCCUUCUCCACAUCUCUAUUUAUGCUGGCAACCUUCCUUAGAUGAAACAUCUACAUUCAACACCAUGGUGAUUUAAUUCUGCUGGCAUUAAGUUAACCACCAAUUUUUAAUCUAUACAAAAGUCUAGAGUUUUUUCUAAAGAUAUGACAUUUAUGCUAGGUUUAUUAUAUGUUGGAAAAACUAUUGGAGAACGAAAAGGUUAUGGCACUGGAAGAAAGACAACUGCAGCGAUGCCCUGGAAUAGGCUGGCAGGGGCUGGAAAGAGUGCAUAGGGAGAGACUGUGGCUUAGAUCUGCACAUGCACAUUCACAUAGAGGUGAGUGGAGAGAAGAGUACAGGCAUGGAUGGGGAUAAUUGGGAGUUUUUGUUAGUACAUUGUCUUCACUGAGGUUCCUGGAAACUGACUUGAGACAAUUAUGUUGGUGAAGUGAACUCUGGAGAUCAACAAAGGCUCCAAGGGAAUCUGGAUAAAACAACGACAUGGUCUACUCAAAUAUUAAUAUUGUAUUAAAUAAUAUAAUUAAAAAUAAGUGAAUAAAGUUUUUUCAUUUAUAGUAUUUUAUUGUAUAACUAAACCAUGCAUCUAUACUGCUCAUAAUGAAUAAAAUGGCAUUAUUUCAAUUUUUUUGAAACAAUAAAUAUAAGAAUAAAUAUUUUCUUGCAUCCAUGUAGAGAAAAAUUUUUAGGGUUUGUUCUUAGAAAUGGAGUUGCUAGUCAUGAGAUGUAUUGUUCUGUUUCAAGGGCGUGUUUUGUGCCUCCCGUGUCUGACCCUUCGUCCUGUUUUUGAGGUGUUCUCAUGAGUAAGACAGUCAGUGACCCAGCUCACCUCCCACGAGAAGAAGCUGCACAUGCAGAACACCUCCUUUGCCAGCCCUUUGGGCCACUGGAGAACACAGCCACAGUCACAGACACUUGGCCAAGCAGAUACAACCCUCAUUGUCCCCACACAGGAUUCUGAAGCUGAAACCAGGACACAAAGGAGCUGUGUCUGCCAGUGAGGGAGGUGGCUCCUCAGUCUGGUUUGUCAGCAGAAACUCUUGGCUCCUAUUUUUACAGGGCUGCUGCCCAGCCUUUGUGGAGACUCUGGAAUCUUCUUCAUACUGUUAAAGCUCCUUUCCAGUUUGAAUGACCCAGAGUUAGUUUGCACGGCUUGUGGCUGACUACCUUGACUGAGCUCAGUCUGCUAUAACAAAACACCACAUCGGGUGGCUUAAAAAACAGAUAAUUUUUUCUUACAGCUCUGGAGGCUAGAAGUCCAAGAUCAGGGUGCCUAUGUGGUAGGUUAUAGUUAGGGUCUUCUUCUCAAUGUGUGUUCUCAUGGCUUUUCCUUCCCCUUCCUAUGAGUGUGCAUAUGGUGGGGUGGGAGUGGGGUGUCCUUAUGUUUGGAGACACAGAUUCAUACACGAAUUUGAGGUCAUUAACAUUCAGACCACAGCACUAUCUUACUUUCCUCAACAAUAACAAUUUACACCUCUACCACAAUCUACAUACAAUAGUUAUUUCUCUAAGUCCUUGCUGUUUUCAGACUAUACGUGUAUGUUCAUUUUAUUGUUUUAUUAUUACAAAAGUGAUUGAAAAAUGGGCCUUUCUUUGCUCAUUUUCACCACAAAAUGUUUAAAUAAAAACAAACUUAUUAUGUUAAAUGUCUUUGCCAUCAUGACAGGAUAAGUGAAUUAAGAGAAAGUAUUUUGAGGGGAAUUAAUAGCAAUGUUACUAUAAUAAAUGUUUUCCAUGGAAACAUUCACCAUAUUCUUUGAUCAUCUCUUGCUGAUCAACUGUUUACUACAAUGUUUUGGCAAAUAAAAACAUUUUGGUGUGUCUUCCUGUACUUCACACUGGAUCUGACACAGACUUUUGUAGCUAUUGAGGUGUCACGUUUGAAUUACUUUUUAACAUCAUUUGCUUAUUUUUACAGUUGCUUUUCUUACUGAUUUAUGCUAAUUGAGUAAAUGACAUGAGAUUUUAGGAGUUCAUAGAAAUAUUAACCUCAUUUUAAUACAUUAGUAAAAAAUAUCACCCAUAUUUAAUUUUUAGGAAUAAAAUGAACAGUUACAAAACCCUCCACAUAAAUAGCGCUGUUUAAAAAGUUUCAUCCUGAGAGAAACAAAGGUCCUCAGGGCUGACAGUCAUCCUUCCUCGUCACUGCUGCUCCAGGCAUCUUCAAAGGCUGGAUUUAACUGGGACUUGGUUUUAGUCUAAAAAGAAAAAAAAAAAAAAAAAAAAAAGGAAGUUCUUAUUUUUCUGCUUUACAACUUCAGGCUCAUAAUAUAUUUAUGAAAUAUGCCAGAUGAACAACAAUUUGAAUAUUGUAAGUAACACCCCCAAUAUAUAUGUAAGGCAAUGUAACUUCAUUUGAAAUAGCUAUAUCAGACUGUAUCCAAGUAACUUGUGUUUGCUUUAAAGUGUUCAGCUCACAAAUGCAUACAUGUGAUGCUGCUGUUGCUCAGGGUGUUACUAUAACAUUCUAGAAUUAGCUGGAGAAGGUAGAACGUUGACAUCCAUGGAGUUAAGACUGGCUCCACGUCUAGAGUCUCACUGGGCACCUUUAACCAUUUAACUUAAUGCUGGAAACUUUUCAUUGCUGGGUCAAUUGAACUUGUAUAACUAAACAAAUACUGAUACGUGAGAAAUAAGUGCUCAUUAAGCUGAGUAACGCCAUUUCUAAUGCAACAAAGUAAAGGGAUUGAUUAUUAAAGCAUGAACUUUUUGCUUAUUAUUAUGUAGUUGGCAAAGUACUCCAGAAACACAUGCAAAACAUAUCAGAAAUGGUAACAAGAUUAUAAUCGGCACAUAGGUUUCCCUGGGAAAUUUCUCUGAAGGACAAUACGUAUGAGACAGUGUUUAUUUAUACAUGUCUUUUUUUGUCUUUUUCCUUUUUAUUGGUAACAGGAAUUGAACUCAGACUGCCUGCUUGCAAGGCAGGUGCUUAUGCCACUGAGCUAAAUCCCCAGCCCCUGAGAUAGUGUUUAUUUAAAACAAGAAAUAUCACAGUAUACAAUAUUACAACAUUAUAGAAGUUAUGAGCAAUUCCUCUAUAGCAGAUUAAUUAACUAUGAAUUAUCAAAUCAAUUCACUUGUUUGGGAAACCUGAAUGGCUACCCUCUUAUUCUCUGCCCAGGACUAAACAGUUUUAAACAUGGUGGCACUAUUUGAAAGUAUCUGGGCAUAUGAGUAAAGUUUGCUUCCUAGUUUGCAGCUUAUGCAUUCACCAAUUUAUUCAGAUCCAAAUUCCAAUAAUUUAUCAGUACCAAAACUAUUCUUAAAUUAUCUUCGAUGCAUUUCCUUUUAUAACUUACAGAAAUAUCUUAUGUUAAGGGGAACCCCUACUUUAGUGUAUCUGAGCAUGUUCAUUUUCCUGUUGAUGAACAUGAAGACUCAGAAUCUUCUAAUUCAAACAAUGAAAACAGUAGAAAAAGCCAGUAUGCCCAGUAAAUUUCCUGAGUAUCAACUAGGAAAGAUAGAAAACAAAAUAUUAAUGUAGUUAUUCUUUAGGGAUGUUAAAUAGAGUACAUUACUGAGCCUAAUGCUGGCUGACAUCAUUUAGGUGUACAACCAGAAUUCCAUUGUAUCUGCUCCCAAAUGUCUAGAUAUGCUCAAACCCCAGGUAGCCACCUACUCAAUACUAGCAGUAGUCUUCUUUUAUGUAAGAAUAGUAUACUCAAGUUGGUUCACUUAUUUUUUUCAUCUGAAUAUAUUCUGAAUUUCCUUUCUUUUUGGAUAAACAACUUAACUACUAAGUUAGGUUAUUCAGUGAGAAUUUCCUCAGCAAUGUAUUGUACAGGGCAUUAGGGGACUCUUCUUCCCCACUGUCUUUAGAGACUUUUAAUGUUCAUACACAAAUUACUAUGGGACACACCCUGAAAAGUUUAACCACCUCCUACUACUUUGGAUUUCUCUCUGUCUCUUCCUUGCAGAAAGCCAAUCUGCACUUGAACGUACUCAUGUCUACCUCACUAGGUCGCUUGUUCUAUGGACAGAGAGUUGAGUACUAUGGGGGAUGAAGAAGCAGGAGUUUAGAGGGGACCUAGUCUAGGUCCAAAUGGAGGAGGGAAACCAAAAUGAAACCUGUCAGGAUAAUCUUGGUAACUUCCAAAUUUCUGAUUGCUCAUUUUUGGAAAGUUUCACAGGUUUCUGUGUCAGCAGGUGAUUAUACAUCUACCAAGUGCCAAGAAAAACAGGCGUAUAUUGCAUGACUAUCAAACUAAAGUACUAUUCCUGAUGAGAAGUCAUAUUUAAACUGCACCCGCCCUGUAAAUCUCAGGCAGGAAAAAAGGGAUGAAAUACAGAUAAGCUGAACUUGAUGAUGACCACUUAGAAAGUGGAAGGGAGGAAAGGCAGAAGUCUCAGGAUAUUAUAAAACAGCCUGAAAAUGAAAUAAUGAAACAUAUGCUCUAUGGCCAUAAAACUUACUCCUACUAUCUAACAUUGUUCACUUUCUCUAGACACGAUUAAAUCCCUCCUCCUCCACUUUGGAUACCGGGAGAAACAUCUCGAACAUCUCUAAGGGAGCAUAUCUCAGUUGAUGGGGAAACUGAAUUUAAAGUGAAACCUACAAACAACUUAGUUUUAACAGUUCUGAUACACUGAAAAUACCAUAAACCUGUCCCAGGAUAGUAUCAGCAGAGCUGGGUAAUAAAUGGUAGAACCAGGAUUCAAACCCAGGUUUACAUACAUGUAUGUGUGUGUUUUGUUUUGUACUGUGUAAUGUUGCUUCCCUGGGAAACUACAGUAGUCAUUUACUCGACAGUUGAAACCAUUUUCGAAUAGGAGUAAAACUGUAAAUAUACACGUAAAAGAAUAGGUACUUGUAUAGACAGAAUUCAUUAUUGGGAUUUCUAUCAUGAUAAUCCGCAUAUUUUGCUUACAUUUAUAAGGAUCUUUCAAACUAUAGUUCUAAGAAAAAUAGAUUUAGCAUGUAGUACUUCAUAUUAAUAUGAGUAUGAUUUCUUUGUUAAAUUACAUGAAUAGUAAAUUUUAAAAGAAAAGGCUAUCGCUCUAAGACUUAAAUAUCAAGCUGAACUUUUUUUGUAUAUCUCUAUUUUACUUUCUAUUUCUUUUGCUUAAUUUCUCCUAUAAAAGUUCUUUCAGAUGGAGAGUUCAAACUAUCAAUAUGAUUACAUAACAAAGAAAUAAACCAUCAAAGUCACAAAUUAUUUUUAUGAAAGGUAAUGUAGUUUUCUCCUAAUAUUCUUUUCUAUAAAUAAGUCACAGAUUUACUUUACAAAAAAUCUUACUAUUUUCAGUUAGUAAAUAAUUGUUAUACUUCUUAACAUGGCCCAUAGUGCUAUGACUUUGAUUUAAUAUAUACAGUAAUUCUCAAAAAGCAGAAUAUGUAAUCAAGAAAUAAAGUAAAAUAAAUAGCUAAGCUAAACUAUUUGACAAUAUUAAACUUUAUACUGAAGAAUACUUAGUCAUCAAAAGCAGUUGUAUGCUAAAACUAAUGAAGCCAUAAUGAACCAAAUUAUACAUGUGAAGAAACCUGGAUAUACUCAUACUGCAUUUGGCCAACUGCCUGAAAAUGUUUUUUUUUUCUCUUUCAUGUGAAUUUGGGUCAAAAGAAAAUAAUUCACAGGCUUUUGACUGUAAUGACCUAUAAUAGUUGCAAGUUAAAGUAUGAAAUAUAUUUUGUUAAACAGCUGCUGGAUACUAUCAAUAGCUACUGCUAGAUACCACUAUCAGAGCAAUUUUGUUUCAUGUGUUUUUUGACAGUGCUAUUCAUAAAGGAACUAAAUAUGCGAAAAAUGUUUUACAACAACAACUUGCUUUAUCAAUAACUUCCUUCCACCUCCAUUUAAGAUGCUUUGUUUAAAAAAAAAAAAAAAAGAUGCUGCCCCGCCACGCUGGGACUUAUGCAGCUGCACAAGAAGACAACUUGCCUGCCCUCUCGGUAAACACCCCGGGCGCCAGCAGGGAGGAGAACCAGUCAGCUGUUCCCGUGAGCCUACUGGCGCGAUGGCUGAGAAUCAAACAUCUCUCCCCACCAUCAGCAAUGGGGACAGAAUUCUGAGCAUCUCUUGGGAGGAUGCCCAUAUGCAAUACAGCAAAUAUGGGGGAUUUCCUUCUAUGUUCUGUUUGAAGGCAAAGGUUAUUUUCACUGUUAUGUUUUAUAAUGAUUGUUUGAUCUAUUCAGUAUUCUCCUUUAAUUGGUUUUACAAUGGUCUGUUAUUGAUUUGAUUUCACUAUACCUAAUUGACUGGACAAGUAUUGUGAAGAUAAUGAGAUAUACUAUAGUAUCCAUUACUACUAUCCCAGUAUCCUGCUUUGAAGUUCUGUACGAAUGUCACUACAUUGUCUUGAUUGGCUUUGUUCUGUCUUGUUCUGUGAUAUUUUUAUUACAUUCAAAAUAAAAUUUUUUAAAAAAGA